Non-coding RNA from Perognathus longimembris pacificus (Pacific pocket mouse), 507 nucleotides. Lineage: Eukaryota; Metazoa; Chordata; Mammalia; Rodentia; Heteromyidae. The record is from the annotation of a RefSeq genome assembly.
AUGGACAUGAGGACCCAUGCUCAGCUCCUGGGGCUCCUGCUGCUCUGGUUCCCAGGUGCCAGAUGUGACACCCAGUUGACCCAGUCUCCAUCCCUGUCGGCAUCUGUGGGAGGCAGAGUCGCCAUCACUUGCAGAGCCAGCCAGGAUAUUAGCAGUAGUUUACAUUGGUACCAACAGAGAGCAGGGAAAGCCCCAAAACUCCUGAUAGGUUAUGCAACUUCUUUGCAACCUGGGGUCCCAUCGAGGUUCAGUGGCAGUGGAUCUGGGACAGAGUUCACUCUCACCAUCAGCAGCCUGCAGCCUGAAGAUGUUGCCACUUAUUACUGUCAACAGAGUAGGAGUUACCCUCCCACAGUGAUACAAGCCAUAACAAAAACCUCCCAGGGAAGCAGAAGUGAGAGGCUGGGCUGCCCACCUGCUCCUCCUGGGGCCUCCACUGAUGACAGAGCUGCUCAGAUGCAGCCAGUCUGUGAAGAUCACUGGAAAGUAUCGAGGAAAAGGGCAUGA